AGAAACCAACAGGGAUUGCCCUAGUAACGGCGAGUGAAGCGGCAAUAGCUCAAAUUUGAAAUCUGGCUCUUUUAGGGUCCGAGUUGUAAUUUGCAGAGGGCGCUUUGGUAUUGGCAGCGGUCCAAGUUCUUUGGAACAGGACGUCACAGAGGGUGAGAAUCCCGUACGUGGUCGCUAGCCUUUACCGUGUAAAGCCCCUUCGACGAGUCGAGUUGUUUGGGAAUGCAGCUCUAAAUGGGAGGUAAAUUUCUUCUAAAGCUAAAUACUGGCCAGAGACCGAUAGCGCACAAGUAGAGUGAUCGAAAGAUGAAAAGCACUUUGGAAAGAGAGUCAAAUAGCACGUGAAAUUGUUGAAAGGGAAGCGCUUGCAGCCAGACUUGCCUGUAGUUGCUUAUCCGGACUUUUGUCCGGUGCACUCUUCUGCGGGCAGGCCAGCAUCAGUUUGGGCGGUUGGAUAAAGGUCUCUGUCAUGUACCUCUCUUCGGGGAGGCCUUAUAGGGGAGACGACAUGCAACCAGCCUGGACUGAGGUCCGCGCAUCUGCUAGGAUGCUGGCGUAAUGGCUGUAAGCGGCCCGUCUUGAAACACGGACCAAGGAGUCUAACAUCUAUGCGAGUGUUUGGGUGUCAAGCCCAGACGCGUAAUGAAAGUGAACGGAGGUGGGAACCCUUUGGGUGCACCAUCGACCGAUCCUGAUGUCUUCGGAAGGAUUUGAGUAAGAGCAUGGCUGUUGGGACCCGAAAGAUGGUGAACUAUGCUUGAAUAGGGUGAAGCCAGAGGAAACUCUGGUGGAGGCUCGCAGCGGUUCUGACGUGCAAAUCGAUCGUCAAAUUUGGGCAUAGGGGCGAAAGACUAAUCACCAACAAGCCUUU
Molecule: ribosomal RNA, 871 nt
Filed under: Leptospora galii
Lineage: Eukaryota; Fungi; Ascomycota; Dothideomycetes
Description: eukaryotic LSU rRNA
Rfam family: Eukaryotic large subunit ribosomal RNA
Source: RNAcentral